Molecule: ribosomal RNA, 245 nt
Filed under: uncultured bacterium
Lineage: Bacteria
Description: partial 16S ribosomal RNA
Rfam family: Bacterial small subunit ribosomal RNA
Source: RNAcentral
AACGUAGGUGGCGAGCGUUAUCCGGAUUCACUGGGCGUAAAGCGCCUGCAGGCGGCGCUGCAAGUGGGACGUGAAAUCGCCCGGCUCAACCGGGCGGGGCCGUUCCAUACUGCAGGGCUGGAGGGCAGAAGAGGGAAGCGGAAUUCCCGGUGUAGUGGUGAAAUGCGUAGAUAUCGGGAGGAACACCAGUGGCGAAGGCGGCUUCCUGGUCUGCGCCUGACGCUGAGAGGCGAAAGCUAGGGGAG